Non-coding RNA from Caenorhabditis elegans, 142 nucleotides. NCBI's taxonomy places the organism in Eukaryota, Metazoa, Nematoda, Chromadorea, Rhabditida, Rhabditidae. The record is from Ensembl.
UGGAAAUUUGUUUGUCUCGUUUGCUAUUCGAAAAGUUGCAGAGUUGAAAACAUGUAAUUAAGAUAUAUUUUCGGAUUUUAAAUAUAAAAUUCAUGUCACUGUGUUAUUAAUAGAGUUGAUCAAGUUUAAAAACAGCCUAAAA